Molecule: ribosomal RNA, 514 nt
Filed under: uncultured bacterium
Lineage: Bacteria
Description: bacterial SSU rRNA
Rfam family: Bacterial small subunit ribosomal RNA
Source: RNAcentral
UAGUCCACGCCGUAAACGACGAUCACUCGCUGUUGGCGAUACACUGUCAGCGGCCAAGCGAAAGUCUUAAGUGAUCCACCUGGGGAGUACGCCGGCAACGGUGAAACUCAAAGGAAUUGACGGGGGCCCGCACAAGCGGUGGAGCAUGUGGUUUAAUUCGAUGAUACGCGAGGAACCUUACCAGGGCUUAAAUGCAGAAUGACAGAUUGGGAAACCAGUCCUUCUUCGGACAUUUUGCAAGGUGCUGCAUGGUUGUCGUCAGCUCGUGCCGUGAGGUGUCGGGUUAAGUCCCAUAACGAGCGCAACCCCUAUUCUUAGUUGCCAGCGGUUCGGCCGGGGACUCUAAGAAAACUGCCAGCGCAAGCUGUGAGGAAGGUGGGGAUGACGUCAAAUCAUCACGGGCCCUUACGUCCUGGGGCCACACACGUGCUACAAUGGUGAGUACAGAGGGCAGCCACCCCGCGAGGGGGAGCGGAAUCCCUAAAAACUCAUCUCAGUUCGGAUUGAAGUCUGC